UACGUAGGGUGCAAGCGUUAAUCGGAAUUACUGGGCGUAAAGCGUGCGCAGGCGGCUAUGCAAGUCAGAUGUGAAAUCCCCGGGCUCAACCUGGGAACUGCAUUUGUGACUGCAUGGCUAGAGUACGGCAGAGGGGGAUGGAAUUCCGCGUGUAGCAGUGAAAUGCGUAGAUAUGCGGAGGAACACCGAUGGCGAAGGCAAUCCCCUGGGCCUGUACUGACGCUCAUGCACGAAAGCUAGGGGAGCAAACGGG
Molecule: ribosomal RNA, 253 nt
Filed under: uncultured bacterium
Lineage: Bacteria
Description: partial 16S ribosomal RNA
Rfam family: Bacterial small subunit ribosomal RNA
Source: RNAcentral